CCACGUCAUAUAAAAGGGAUUGAGCUAGAAAAGGCACGUUGGCUGGGCUUUGUAAAAAAUAUAAUUUGCCCAUCCUCAGCCCAAAACCUAUUUGUUUCAAACUUGCCUUUCUCUCCCCCUCGACUCUUCCACUUCAUCUUCUCUAAUCUCUGAGUUUUCCGAGUUUCACGUUACUUUAGCCACUUAUGAUCAAUCAGUGAUCUUUAAACUCUUUUUCAAUGUUCCGUUCCACCUCUCUAUGAUUCUUCAUCCUUCAAAUCCAGACGUUUUAUGAUAUUUAUCAACCACUAGCUAUAAAUUUAGGGCCAUACACACGAACCCUCACCUCCCCAACCAAGUUUUUGCAGUUCUUGAUUUUUUACUCCCCUUUUCCGUUCUGGCUAACCUUGAUUUUGUCUUCCUACUUUACUUUCAACAAUCUGCAUCUUUGCCGUUUUCUCAAGAGGUUGUCCACUCAUCCUUUAUUGGGAUUAUUAGGUUUUUAUUCUCUCUUGCAUGUUCAAUUGCCAUUAAUGUCAAUACCAAGAGCUUCUCGCAGAUAAACAUGUAAUUAGUUGACUCCCUUUUGGAUUUUCAGAACUGUUAUCAUUCUCUGCAAGUCAAUCUUUACUUUCCCUUUUUCCGUCACGUUUUAUACCUCUUAUGAGUUUUUGAUAAUCAAUAAACUAAAUAUAUGUAGUAAAACCUAUCAUCUUACUUCGUUGAUUAUUCACAUAAUUAUACUUUUUGUUUUGGUUUUGACUCUAAUGAUUGUUGCUGUUGAUUGAACGUGAUUUUAGUUGUUCUUUCCAGGUUCUGAUUGCAUCACCUCCAAGAAAAAAACUCAGUCAGCUGAUUGCUUCAUGACUUUCCUACGUUGGCUUAUUGAAUCUCAUAUUCAGGAGCUGGAGGAGGAACUGAAGCUUCUCAAGAAUCACUCUCAACCAAAUAUAGUUGGAUGCAGCUGUCCUCACAAAUGGCGUGUAUGGCGACAUAGAUGAUGGUACCAUUACCGAUAGCGAUCUGAAGACAGAAAAACUCACACAUUACAUAGAGCAUCCCCGUCCCAUAGAGCCACCUGCAGAGGCAGCGCCUCCACCACCCCAGCCUCUUAAACUGACAAAGAGGGAGCAGAAGAAACUUCGAACCCAGAGGCGUCUGGCAUAAGAAAAGGAGAAACAGGAGAUGAUCAGACAAGGGUUGCUUGAACCACCAAAAGCAAAGGUGAAAAUGAGCAAUCUGAUGAAGGUUCUUGGGUCUGAAGCAACGCAAGACCCAACCAAGCUUGAGAAGGAGAUCCGCACAGCAGCAGCCAAACGUGAACAGGCUCACACGGACAGGAACGCAGCACGGAAGCUAACACCGGUACACCAACUACUUCUUUGUUUCUUUUAUAACUCUUUCAUUCAAUACCACUGAGAAUUUUUUUUUUUUUUAUAACAUGAAACAUGGAAACAAGAACUUGUGAUUGGUUUAUUCGUAGAAAUCUGUGUUUUUGUGGACUUAUGGUCCAUCAGAGAGAGAGAGAGAGAGAGAAGGUUUUUCUUUGUGAGAAGGUUCUUCUCAUGGGAGAUGGGAGAACGAGCUUUUGGAUGGAGAAGAGACGCUGGAAGAAAUAUUGGAUCUUAUCAGUGAGGAAGCUGGAGCAUUGGCCACAGCUGAGGGAACCAAGAGCUUGAACUCAAGUUUCAUCUAAACUAAUGCUCUUCAGGAAUUUUUAAAGGUCGAUUUGUUUGUAUCAGAUUCAGCUUUGCAGAGUGAUUGUUUAAAAAAAAAAAAAAUUCAUCUGUUGCAGCUUAGUCGGUUGUGGUUGUGGUUGUUAAAGACAAGAGUGAUGGCUAGAAGGCUAAGGAAGAAGAUGAAGAUCAAUUGAAAAGUGGGUGGUUGGGUAAAUGAGGAGACCGCAAUAGUCUAAGAAGGUUGUGAUUGAACAUUUGAGGUCUCAUAAGGGAAGUAACUAUAAAAUGAUUUUCACCUCCUCGAUUAUUUGUCGAUGCUGGAGGGGUUGUGAUUAACAGAGUUUUCUUUGGUGGUGGACAAAAGAAAAAUAUUAAAAGAGAUUUUGUUUGAUACACUAAGCGUUUAGAUUCGAGACUCCCCUUAUAUAGAGUAAAAUUUAGGAUCAGAGUUCUUAAACAAAGUAAUUUCAAGCAAGUAUAUUUUCUGAUUUACAUCUCAGGACCUCUCCUGUGUCUAUAUACUAAAUAUUUUAGAGUAUUCAGUCUCCUUAUAUUCAAAAAUUCAGAAGCAGAGAGUAUAUGUUCUUACACACUGACUUAAGGCCGAUAACAUCAUAUAACAACAUAUUCUGUUUUUUUUUCAAAUGCAAGCAGUAUUGAAUUCACAUAGAGAGCACAUACUUUGUUGGAGGCAUGAGCUAUGAUUAAGCAACAUCAGUCAUCAAGACUAUUAUGUGAGAAAAUCAAAUUCUGUGAUCAUACAACGCAAACACAAGCUUAUGAGGACAAGUUCUCCACACUUUACUUUAUUAUAUCAUAUUGAAAUUUGAGAUGAAUUGAAAAAUCAACAAGACAUGAGUUUUAAAAUCCAUCCUCGCACAAAUUUCCGGCCACAACAACGGCUACUCGCCUUUUUGAACAUGGGUUAUAACUUAUAACCAAUCUAUGUUUUAGAAAAAAACAAUUAAAAAUGGGAAUAAAAACAGUUGCAUGUUACUUUUUUAGACAAGACUUACACGCGCACAAAUGAACAUAUAUGUUACAUUUAUAUGAUUUUCAGUCAUUAUUUUCAGUUCAUGUACUCUUCUUUAUAUAAUCAAUCGGCAAAGCCAUCUGUGGUAAGCUUCAGUUUCUAAUGAGGCAUAUAAUUAAUGAGUAAAUCUCAUGAAACUAAGGUUAUAGGAAAUCAUGGAUGAAGACUUUUGUUCCUAAGUAUUUUGGGGAUCAAAACGACAUUUGAAAGGAAAAAAAAUAUGCAUACCUAUUAUUUUUAUAAUUUACAAAAAGGUUUAUGAAAAAAGGUAGGUCACAAAAAAAAUAUAGUUAAAAAUCCGUACUAAUAUGCCUAUGAUCCAAAAAUAAAUCUUUACGGAAAAGUAAACAACGAAAACAUACAUUACAUUAUAUAUAUGCAAAUUGAAACAGUUAAUUACAAAAAAAAAUAGUCAUAUGAACCCAAGUAUAUCGUUUUAACAUGAAAACUCAAAUACCAGAACGAUCCAACAUAUAUACACUCACCAGAUAUACACACCAUACAUUACUAUGAACUGAAAAACAAUAAAAUAUAUGCAACCCAUGGAUAG
Molecule: long non-coding RNA, 3241 nt
Organism: Brassica rapa (field mustard)
Lineage: Eukaryota; Viridiplantae; Streptophyta; Magnoliopsida; Brassicales; Brassicaceae
Source: RefSeq, a predicted model, not a curated record